RNAcentral lists this long non-coding RNA (536 nucleotides) under Gallus gallus (chicken). Its description in RNAcentral is "long non-coding RNA NONGGAT008762". Lineage: Eukaryota; Metazoa; Chordata; Aves; Galliformes; Phasianidae. The record is from RNAcentral.
GCGGGGGGUGGAGGGUGGUUAAGACAGAACCCAAUUGUGUUCCUCUAAUUACAGAGUUAAUGGAGACGCUCCAAACAGAGGAUUAAGUGGAAAGCAGAGUUUUGCAGCAACCUGAGAUAUUAAAAGGAAAACCAACUGACAGAGCAGAAAAAAAGACAGCCAACUUACGGCAACGCGGCAGUAUUUUCCACCAAAAAGUCGCCGUUAAAUCCCCCACAAUUACUCACAGCUAUCGGGGUGCGCAGUGGCCGUGACACCCGUCUGAGCUGCACAUCACAGACACUGUAACUGCUGGGCUCACCUGAAUGUGUUCCCACGUGCCGUGCACUGCUGGCGCUCUCACGGCUCCACACAAUGCCUGCAUUUCACCCGACGUCGCGCUUCAACACCGUGGCAUGGCUGCAUUAGCUGCUGCUGGAGGACAAAUAAGGAAAGGAAACGGGAAAGGAGGCGGUGAGCAGAAAAGUAAAGCGGUCUCAAAUAAGGAAGCCCUUUAUUUUUCAUUUGUCUUUGAAGACUGAUGUACUAACAAUGUG